AAAAAAAAAAAAAAAGAUUACAGGUAGCUAUUUCCAAAAUGGCCAACAAUUUGAGCCAUUUGUUCAAUUCUCACUUAAAUUUGAGCACUUGGGAAACUAUAUAUAUACUUAAAUUGGGCCUGAAGUCAGAUAAGGCUCGCAGACAUAUGGAGACAAGCCCAAAGCUAACAUCACUUCCAGAUUGUGCCAAUUGGCCUACUUUUAUGCUUUUCAAAUUAAUCUUUUAGUUGAAGAUUCAACUUCAGAUUUGAGAAAGGAAAGAACAUGAAGAUCUAUUGGGGAAAUCAGCUAUUCAUUUAUUAUGCUUUAGGCCUUACAGUUAAGGUCACUUGGACAAUCUUUCUUCACGUGGGUAAAGAAAUUUUACUAAAAUGUUGCUUUCAUUCGUAUUAACUACACAUGUGCAUGACUGAUCUAGAGGUUAAAGUGUUCUUUGACUUUUGGUGUUUUUUUGGGCAUACUUUGUCGGAUAUCUAUACUUCAUUGUAAAAUUAAAUAUGAUUGUUUGACUCAUAUCAUCGAUACACGUUAGACUUGUUAAAGGUGUUAUUAGAAUUUUUGCUCUUCAACUUAAGAUUUUUGGUCAAUUGGUAUCAGUAGUUCAUGAGGUCAUUUGUUCAAGUUUCUAUAUAUAUUGAUUUUCACUUUUCAACUCAAACUUUUUGUUAGCAACUCAAGUACAUAUACUUCAACUUAUAGAUUGAAGGCUAGAAUGAAAAGAGAACGUGUAGAAACUUUUUUCUAUUGAGAACCAAUCUCGGUUACUUUUCUCAACUAUGAACACUAUGAACAUUGAACUAGUUGAUUUAAGUGCAAAAAAAAUAAUAAGAUAGAGAAAAUUUGAUGUUUAUUGCAUUGUGCGUAGGUGCAGGUGUACUUGUGAUUGUGAUUGUAAUACAAUCCUAACAACUUCAAAUUGAAUGGUUGUGUGUGUGAAUUAAUUUAAAGUAAAUAAAAACAAAAUGGGUUUUUGUAUUGUAACAAACCACUUAACCUCUAGUAAAAUAGCUCAACCUCAAUGAAGUAAGUUAAAAGGGUAUUGAUUAGUGAAUAGAACAACAAUAGAUGAUAGUGUUCCUUGAAAUCUUGGCUUGAUUUAAUUUUUCUCUCUUUAUGAAUUAGAUAGCCUUUGUAAUUCUUAAUUAAUUAUUCUUUUUUUGUUAAUUAAUUUUUACUUGCAAUUAGUGUUAUCUAAUCUUGAAACUAGAUGACAUGGAAAGAACAUGUUAUACUAAACAACUAGAAAAUAUAUAUAGUAAGUAUAGAACGUUGUUACAUACUUUGUAAUAGUCACAAAUCAUACAAUCUAAAUCAUUUAUAUGGAGACAUGUGAAUGAUGUAUCAUCACACAAUGAAAAAUUUAUUUAAGAUUGAAUAAUUAUAUAGUUAAGAUAACUUAGAAUAUUAAUAGUAGAUGUAUUAGUUGAAAUCGACGAAGUCUAAAUAAUAUAUUUAUAUUUAAUAAUUAAUUAAAAUUAAUAAUUGUUAUGAGUGAUUUUGGAUCAAAUGAUAUAAUCGACAUAAAAUAAUAACUGAAACAACAAGGUGGGUCUAUGAAAAAGAGUUAGUUGGCAUCAAAACCCAAAUCUACGUGGUUAUGGAGAUAUUCAACGUAUACCAAAAACCAAAGUAUCAUCUGAAAACUAAACAUCAACGUAUUCUCUUAUAUAUAUCUCUUCAAUGUGAUCAAACAUGCACCAUAUUUUACAUGUGUUAAAGAACGUGUAACAUUAGAGUCUUCUUUCAAAUAGAAAUAAAACUGUACAAGUAAAAAGGUAAAAACAAAAUGGUGCAUGUUAAUUGAAUAAUUAGAAUGAAAAUGUUGAAAUUGAAAAGAAGAAUAAUAAUGGUGUUGGUAUAAUUUGAUAUGGGUUUUGUUUGUUUAAAAGAGAAGUCGCAAAGAACGAGGAGGAACCCACUUGUGGUUGAUUGUAAAGAAAUGGUUGACAAAGGCGUGGGCAAUGAAAUGAUGUUGGUACGAAAAAGAUGAAAGAAGUAUGAAGGUGAAGGGAUGUAGUAGGAACAUGAUAAGAAUAGGAUAAAAGAUUCGGAGUGGAAGUCAGUUGGGAAACAUUGGAUAAGUGAUCAAUACACUCACAAGAACUCCUUCCUACUCAUCUUUUCUCUCUCUCUCUCUCUCUUAUUACUAUUAAUUCAUUCGUUGCUUUUCCUUACUAUUCUUAGAAAGCUUUGCCGUACGUUGCAAGGUCGUGAACAACUUAUCCUGAUAUCUCCUCGAGACUCUCAAAUAAUUUAUAUGAAAUUUUCUUGGGAUCAAACUAAAGCAAAACCAUGAAGGUGGAUGUCUAAAGUACCCAAUAUUAUAUCAUCGUAAAAAUAUCUAGAGUUUCGUUGCCCCUAAAUCAAUUUAAACAAUUAUCUUCGGUAGCAUGAGACCUUUUUGUUUGAAAUCAAAAGUAAAAUCACGAGGACGUUAAGUAAAUGUUUAAAGUAAACAAUAUUUUAUUAUUGUAGAGAUAUGUGGAACGCCAAUACUAAGCUUCCGACAACCAACGGGAGGAUGAUCAAAUUUUAAUAUAUCUUGGAAAAAAGGACAUUAUGACCAUGCUACAUAAUGUGGUCUCGUACAACAUAUCUCAUACAAUAGGGGACCUAAGAGUACUCAUCAUUUGAUAUAACUAUUUAUUUAUUUAUAUUUUAAUUUAUGAAUUACAAAUAUUAUGCCAUUUAUAUUGAAGUUUUCCAAAAAGAAAAAAGAAAAAAGAUCACAGAGAUGCAGAACCAAAAUGGGUUACUGUAACAAAAUAAAUAUCUAAGAGUUUUCAUUCUUUUUUUGUGUAUGAACAUUUUCACAAAACCUAAAUUAAACCUAACCCACUUUCUAAAGCACAAGUUGUACAACAUUUUAUUUGCAUCAUCUUCAGUAGUGAAAUUACAAAAUCAACGUUGAUCGUUGCUAUACGUUUGAGUGUAUGUUCACUCGAUUAAUAUCAAUUCUCACUUUUAGCAAAUUAGAUAAAUAUGUUCCUGCAAGCGUGCAUGAAAUUUCAACAGUCAAAGAAGAUUAGGAAAAGCUUGAUUCGUGCAAUGUAUCAAGCAAAAAACAUGUCGACGCAAUUCUACUUGAAGAAACGUUUUUCCUAUUGUAAAUAGGCAGAAGGACAAAAAUCUUAAUCUAAGUGUUCUCAAUUUUAGAGGUAGGAGUGAAGAUAGAAAUUGAAGAUAAGGCACUCCGACUUAUAUGGUCACUUCCUUCUUAUAGACAUAUGACAUGGUCAAUCUUGACGUGCGAGAAAAAACCUUUAGAUCUUGGUGAGGUUACUAGUAAACUAUUAUGAAAAAAAAGAGUACAACACUGGUAGCUAACAAAUGGAAGAAGGAAAAGUUCAUACAAAAUAUAGUUUAAUUUGCUGAAAUUAGAGACAAUAUGAACACAUGAGAAAAAACUGUCCAAAUAGAGUAGAUUUGUCAAAGGGUUCUGAGUUGGAUGUAAUGUUGUCUCCAUCGCCAUAAACGUCCCCUUAACCAUGAUAAAAGAGGUGAAGUCGACCUGAUAGUUAUACAAAGUGUAUGGUAAAAAUUAUGAUAAUGGUUGAAGGACUUCCAAGUAAAGUCAAGCAAGUGAAAAUUGCACUAUAUAAAUUUCAGCAAGUCUUAUCCAUGUGCAAGGAAAAAGAAAAAUUCUUGAAAUGUGGUACUCCUAGUAGUUUACUUUCUAUGGUGGAUAAUUUAUGAUUCUAUGAGUUAAUUGUUGUGAAUUCUUCAAACAUCUUGCCAAGAGAGAAUGUGUUGAAUUCGACAUGACAAGAUGUAGAAUGUGUAACUCCCACAUAAAUAUUUCGUAGGAAGGUGAAUGACUCCAAACCUACGUAAAUAACCUAUUUAAUCGAUUAAGCUAUUUUUAAUUUAAGAAUAAAAAAGAUGGUAGUAGUCAAAACUUUUAUGUUGUUAAUUGAAAACAGGAAGCAAAAAAAUCUAAUGUGAAUGUAACAAUUUUUUACAUAGUAAUAUUUUUCUCCAGUAUGAGAUAUUUUCAUGUGCAUUCUAAUUCCUUUAGUUUCUAUGUUAUUUUUUCUGCUUAUUAUUGCUAUGAAAUUGAGAGGUUUGAACCCAACAAUAAUGAAAUUGCAAUUUAAGUACCAACACACAUACCCAACAGGUCGAUUGGGUCGAUUCCAUUACUUUACUCCGACAGCGAUGACACAAGCAAGACUAGUUAAAAUAAGUAUUGAAGUGAUAGGCCACAUUUUGUUUUAAUCUUGUCAAGUAGAUAUCAAAGGUACAAUUUUCAUAAAGUAUAUUGAGAGUUAAUAUUUGAGUCAAAUUAUAAAAAAAUAAAUUUAAAGAGAGAACAGGAUACCUGAUAAUGUAAUCUAAAUAUAAAGAAAGCAGUAAACUUGAUGAGUAAUCUAAAUGGUAAAUUUAGAUUUGUGUCUCAACCAAUCCAAACGCACUCAUCCAACCAUGCCAUGAUUGGGAUUUUAUUCUUUAUCCCUCCAAUAAAUGACCUCACGAAAUAUAUAAUGCAAUCUGUCAUAUACAAAAGAAAUAAAAACAAAACUGUACACUUUAUCAAAUAAAAAGAGCAGAGGAUCUUGCUCGGUUGUAACAUGUUACAAAACUAAAGGAAAAACAAGAAGAAAAUCCCAACAGAAGCAAUCAUAGAGCAAGUAGAGAUCAAGAAAGUAAGAUCCUGCCCAACUGUGUAUAUACAUUGUAAGAUCAUAAUGCCUUGCAGAAUUUCUUGGAGAAAUACAUGAGAGUGAUGGACAUAUAUUCAAACAUUAUGGAAUUGCUUAUAUCUACUUUAAUUCCGAAAUAUCAUUUUGAAUUUACUUUUUAUGUGGUCCUUUCAAGUUUUUAAUUUAACUUCAAUUUAAUCUCUAACUUUCAAAAUUUUACCCAAACUUCAAGAGCAUUACGAAUUUUACUCUUGAAAUUAGAAAUUUGUUUCAUUUGGGUCCAAAAGUUACACUUAUAAAAUCUCACUUAAUAUUGGUAAAGUAAAACAAAAGGGAAAAAUUACCCAAUAAAAAUAAAUAUGAAAAGUAUAUAGAUGAGAAGAAGAAAUUUCAAAAUACAGAUAGAAAAAGAUUAAAAUAUCAAAUUACGGAGUGAUAAAUGUGAAAACUUCAACGAUGUUUACUAUUGAAUUGGCCAACUCAAGAAGUUUGUGGGCUGAAUAGGUCAAUCUAAAUGUGUAGCAUUUGAAAUCUAAGGAACAAAUAAAGACUAAAUCAUUGGGACAACAAAAGGUAUUUUUUUCCUAUUUAUAACAUUAAUAAAUAAAUUUGGAUUUUAGAAAAAAAUAAAAUCAAGCAAACUAUGAAAAAUGAGUAUAAAAUCUUGAUACUAUGAAAUAUGAGGCAUCGAAAGAAGCAUCUACCCCAUGACAAGAUUUGAUACUCAUUGACAAAGGUUGCAUUAUUGAGGAAGGGCCACAGAGGCAGAGUCCAAUCUCUGAGAGAUCCAAUAUUAAAAAGGUGAAUCUUUUCUUUACAAAGAUGUAGGGACUAAGAGAAAAAGAGCAUUAAUAAUAACACAUACAAGGAAUUAAAUGCUGUCCUAAAAUUAAAACUCCCUUAUGGAAUUAAAGCUUCUUAGAAGAAAAAACUACAUUUCUAAGCCUGUUUUAGUAUCAUUACUAUCAUGUCAUCAUCUCAUGAAAUCGUUUAUUUGAAAUGGUAUUGUCAAUCAAAAGGUCAUUGUGAUAUAUCAUCAUUCAAAAGGCCAAAGCACAUCAACAUCAAUGCAGCUUGUGAAAAGAGGAUGUCAUGUAUAGAACUUAGUAGAACGACCAAGUUGCUUUCUAACCACAAGGUCUUUGCCGAGUUUUCUUUAAAGCUUCUGCAACAACCCUGGGACUCUAGUAGAGACAACUUAAACAAUAAUUGUACUAUUUUGUUACUGCUUCAUUAUUUUAUAUGCCUCACCUCACAUACCCAUCUGUUCCCAACCAUUUUCCCUCCUACAUGGUAUUACUAUAAAAGAAAACCCUGCACUUACAGAAAGAAUGCAAAGAUUUCGUAGCAAAAUUCUAACUUCUGUCCUAACUAAUGUUCUCCCAAUCAAAUUUCUUAAUGUAGAGAGAGAGAGAGAGUAAGAUAUUGCAAGGCAUGUAAAGUACAGAACUAAACAUGUCUCCUAUAGGAGCUAUGGAAAUUAUGGUUUUCUUGAAAAUUUAAUAUCGAGAGAGAAGGUGAGAGUGAGGAAAAUUGUUGUACCUGUGGCUCCUUGUGGCGAUCACAUGUUCAGGGACCCACAUGACACCUUACCUAUAAUGAUCAAAUACCUUUAAAACUUUGGACCAGUUUGCAUACAUCAACAUCCCCAAGGAAUUCCAGAUGGUCCAUUUCAACUCACCACUGUGCCUUUUAACUUGCUUCAGUUCAUUUCACUUCGUCAAUUGACUUUUCUCAAAGAAAAGAAAAUAACAGAAUCAAUACCAUUCAAAACAACUUACAUUGCUUUUAAUAGGAAUCACCCGACAAUCAGCUCCUCUCCUUUUAAUAUAUGUUUAUACAUAUUGUUUUCAGAAACAGCUAGUCUGCACUUUGAAUUAUUUACCCAUAAGUUGUACGGAAAUAAUAUACAUGAAAUAUCCUAAUGUAUCAGAGAACAAAAAAACAUAUGAAAACCAAACUUGAUUUUCAAAACUUUUUUUUUUUGUUCUCGUAUAACCAGGUGUCGAAGCUUUACUCCUCCAUGCCCAACACCUCAAGGCCUAAACCCAGGAUUCGCAUAAAGGUUUGAACUUGGAACUUCUGAGUCAGUUUUUGUUCUGCUGUAUUUAAAUUAAGUGUGAAAGCUUAUUUAACUUUAAUACUACCGUGGCAUGAAAUCACUAUUCAAAGAUUUAGAAGGAUGAAAGUCACUCUAAAUGUAUUGUUCUUAGGAGGGAAAAAAAUUAAUGACCUCAGCAGCUUCUCUCAACCAAAUGCCGCCUUUACAUUAGGACCCAAGCUGAGCUAAUAAAGAGGCCUACUAUCCCAAGACAAGACAAUAAGUAAAUAAUGUCUGCACCCAAGUCGACACUGUUCAUUGGCCAAACAAGCUCUUUAAAUUCUCUUCUUCAACUUCCAAUUACCUUAAUCCCUUCUACACCACUUCUUUUCUCUUUGCCUCAUAAAGAAAAAUAAAGAGAAGAUCAAUUUUAGAAACAUGGGGUCACCAUUUUCCAACUUCCUCAACCACAAAAAUUUCUUACUCUUCAAAAUUUCCAUGAUCCUAUUCAUAAACUGGGCAAUUUAUAGACCUAAUCUUUGUUUCACCAAGUGUUUCGGGGAGCCAACCGAUGACCCUGCUAUACAGUCUUCUUCCAAAGUGCUUUCAUCCUUGGAAACAAUAAACCUAGAUGGAUACUUUAGCUUUAAAAACAAUCAAGAAGCAGCUAAAGAUUUUGGCAAUAGAUAUAACAUGCUACCCUUAGCAGUUUUACAUCCACAUUCCGUUCAUGACAUUUCAAUUACAUUAAAGCAUAUUUUUCAAAUGGGUUCAGGAACAGAACUUACAGUUGCUGCAAGGGGCCACGGCCAUUCUCUUCAAGGUCAGGCACAAGCCUUGCGAGGCAUAGUUAUCAACAUGGAGUCCCUGAAGGAACCAGCCAUGCAGGUUCACAGUGGGAAUCUUUCAUGGGUGGAUGUCCACGGAGGGGAGCUGUGGAUAAAUAUCUUGCAUGAAACACUUAAAUAUGGCUUAACACCAAAAUCUUGGACUGACUACCUUCAUCUUUCUGUGGGUGGUACUCUAUCAAAUGCUGGUAUUAGUGGGCAAGCUUUUAGACAUGGACCUCAAAUCAGUAACGUUCACCAGUUAGAAGUUGUCACAGGUAUUCCUUCUUGGAUUAUUCAUAAGCUUUUUAUAAUGCAUAUAUUAUUGUUUAGAAUUCCUCACUCAGUAAUAACAGUCAAUUGAUCACGAAUUCAUUGCACCAUUAAAUUCUCUUGCAUUACCCACUUAUAGUAAUGGAAGGGCUCAUGUCUAGUACUUUCAACUAUUUCCUUCUAGCACCAAAUUUAGGUAUAAACUUAGGACUAAAGUGACUUGAGUACACAGUCAUAACCAAGAGAUUAGAUGUUCAAAUCCCCCCUAUCUCCCUCCCUAGAACUCAAUCAAAAGCUAAAAUAAUAAACAAACACACUCCUAAAGGGAAAUUUGAAUUUUUUUUAGUACAAUAAUUAUGUAAAUGGGAGAUCAAAUUUUUAGGAGAUUGAAUUCUCAACCUCAAGGAUAUACUUGCCAUUUGUCUUGCGUGUCAAUUACCAAUAUUGGAUAUCAAUGAUGAACCUUCCUGCUAUACUUAAUCACCAGGCAAGCAAAACCACCUAAUUUAAUUAAGGUGGCCCUCAAGAAUUUGACUCGCCAAACUUUUGAAGUGUAAAAUACAGAUCAUUCUAUUACCCUCCAUUAACAAUCUUUCUCUAAAAAUGUCUCUCUCACAUGUUCCCCUUCAAAUACUAUUGUUAUCCCCCCACCACACACUUAUCUAUCCAACGAACUAGGGAGAAGGCUUGCAAUAAGGAAAUCUUUUGAGAAAAUUGUAUGAUAGAGAAGCAGAUAUUUGCUUAGAGCAGAGUAGUUGAGUGAUAUGUUUCUUCAGAAAGAGACUUUCUUUUCUCAUUAAAAAGAAUCUUUAAUAUGAGGCAACAAAGAGAAUAACUUUUACGCUUAUGGAAGUUAGAAGGAUUAAUUUAUUAAGAGAACUCAAUAAUUUAGAGUUGGUUUUUUUCACUCUGGACAAAAAUAUGUAAUCCAUUCACAUCCUCCGUAAGUCAUAACAAAGUAAUAGGGCGGAGAAAUUUAAAUAGUACUUGUGCUGUUGGCUGGGGAAAUCUUCCGUAAUUCCUUUCUAGUGAGAAGAAAAAAUUCACCUCCUAACUAAACAUAAAUUAUGGAGUACUCAUGCUAUAUGUUUCUCCCUCUACUUGAAUGACUAAUCUCACAGUUGAGAAAAUGUAGGGCAACAAUGACAUAUACCAAAUAUGAAAACAUGGAUAAUCCCUGAUAAAAUUUGGAGGAAAUGAAAAAAUGCAAGUAAUUUCAAUCACCACAAUCUCCAAUUUACCAAAAAAAAAAGAAUCAAUAAUUAAACCCAUUUCAUGACAAACCAAUGAUAUUUAAUAGAUUUAUACAACAUUGUUGUUCUGAAAAAGUAUAAUAAUGUCGAAGAAGUUUAGCAAGUAUUGCCUACAAUUCCAAAUCUCAUUUCCUGUUGCCUACAAUUCUAUCUGAAGCAUGAGCUUUCUUAUAGACAUUAUAAUCUUUCAUUUCGGUCAACCCCUCAAUUAUGUAAGAUUUAUAACUAAAAUACAGCAUUGAAAUAAGUGGCAAUAACUCUUCAAACACUCUGAAAGUAAACCUUCAAAUCAAAAUGCUAUCAUUCACAAGGAAAACAUAAAGUACUAGAAUCUCUAUAGGCUUUUUGUCUCUAACUUCAUUUAUAGUUUUCGGUCCCAAGUUUUCUUUUGAUUUUCCUUUUUUGUUUUAAAAAAUAGAACAAAACCAUGAAGGAAUAAUUUUCCGUUCGGUGAAAAAGGAAGGAAAAUAAAAAAUGAUAGUAUAAUGUCUGUCUCUCGAUGCAAACAAAAUAGUCAAGAGAAAAAAAAGAGUGAAAAAUAAGCACUAUGAAAAUAACCUAAAUCUUGGUAAGAAAUUUUUAAAAAUGAUAACAAUAAUAAUGAUGAUGAGGCUGAAAAGAGCCAAGAGCGACUACAAAUGGAGAAAUCCAGAGGGAACUAACUUGAGAGAGAGACCACAGGGGAAAAACACAAAAGAGAGCCCACCAAAGCAAAUGAACUACUUGAAUGACUUUAACUCAUUUCAACAAUAAAACCUUGAAAGUGGACAAAACCAAUGUAGUUUCAACUGUGCAGGAAGGGGAGAAGUAGUUACCUGUUCAGAGCAAGAGAAUUCAGACUUGUUUUACAGUGUACUUGGAGGCCUUGGUCAGUUCGGCAUCAUCACAAGGGCGAGGAUAUCUCUAGAAUUAGCACCAAAAAUGGUAAUAUACCCUGCAUUCCAUCAGAAUAGGUAUAUAAUAUAAAACUUUGUGAUAUCUUGUAAUGUAUAACACAAUCCACCAUCUUUUGUCAGGUAAAGUGGAUAAGAACCUUGUAUUCAGACUUUGCCAUAUUCUCCAAGGACCAGGAGCAUCUGAUAUCCUCCAAAUAUUCCUUUGAUUAUAUCGAAGGUUUUGUUCUAAUAAAUAGAACUGGUAUUCUCAACAAUUGGAGAUCUUCCUUUGAUCCCAAAGAUCCAGUUCAAGCGAGCCAAUUCGUCACAGAUAGGACAACUCUGUAUUGUCUAGAAAUGGCCAUGUACUUCAACUCUGAAGAGAAAGAAACUAUGAACAAGGUGAGCAAUUCAAUAAACAUUAUCAGAUAUCAUGCUCAGGUCUGGGGCAGGGAGGAAGAAAUGUUUACCAUAUAAUGUCAUUUCUACAUGGUCAUGCAGAGAGUCGAGAAGUUGCUAUUGCAAUUGAGCUACAUUCCAGCCACUCUCUUUCUGUCGGAAGUUCCUUACGAGGAGUUCCUGGAUAGAGUGCACAUAUCUGAGAAAAAACUCAGGGCAAAAGGAUUGUGGGAGGUUCCUCAUCCUUGGCUGAAUUUAAUGAUCCCAAGAAGCAGCAUACAUGAUUUUGCAGCAGAGGUGUUUGGCAAAAUUCUUUCAGAUUCUACCAGUGGUCCCAUACUAAUCUACCCAGUCAACAAAUCCAAGUAGUUGCUUCAUUAGAUUUGUCACAGAAACUCUGAACUUUAUUAAUUCCCCAUUCUAAUACAAAUCAGUUUGGGUUAUACAGGUGGAACAAUAAAACAUCAUUGAUCACACCAGACGAAGAAAUUUUCUACCUAGUGGGUUUCUUAUUUUCUACACUGCCAACUUCAACCGGAAAAGAGAGCUUAGAAUACAUUUUAGCCCAAAACCAAAUAAUUUUGGACUACUGUGCCAGGGCCCUUCCAGGAUGUAAGCAAUAUCUGCCUCAUUAUCGCUCCCAAGACGAAUGGCAAGCUCAUUUUGGCUCCAAAUGGCGGGUACUGAAGGAGAGGAAAUCUGCCUAUGACCCAUUAUCAAUCCUUGCACCAGGACAAAGAGUCUUCCAGAAAGCCACUUCUGUACAACAUCUUAUAUCCAAAACAAAACACAAAAAAGGCAUCCUAGAGGAAGAGAAUGCUAAAAUGAUCUAAUAAAGGCGAAAUAAAUCAAGUGUAUCCAAGCAUAAUAAUAACAUUAAUCAGAAAGGGACUGGAGGUAUUGAGUUGUCAGUGAGAGUUUUACGAUUUAAAAUCACAAUCAAAUGUCCAGUGCACCAAAGGGUUAUGAGCUUAACCUUUCUUCCAAAGGACAUAUAAAGCAUAAUUCUGAAAGAUUCACUCUCAAAAUCUAUCUUUACGAUUGGAUCGCAAUCCUGAUCUAUAUUGAUUCAAAACAUAAUCCUGUACAGACCUAGUAAACAAACCAUACUUACAAAUGACUGAAGUUGAACAAAAAAAAAUGCUCAAAGCAGAACUACUCAGUUUUUGUAGCUUCUUUCCACCCAAGACCUGGUCUAGAAAUUUCCCCCUGCGGCCCUUCAUAGUCUCGAGCAUUGAGAAUUGUAGCCUCAAAGUCAGUAGAAUCACUUGCAACAGGAAGAAAACUACCAAUUUCAUCCCUCGCACCAAACCCUCCAGCCCGUAGAACAUCAUCAGCCGACAUGGAAGCCUCCAUAUUAAUUUCCCCAGCCAUAUCAACCCGUUGCGUAGGUUCAGCCUUCACAACAUUCUCCCCACCUCUGUUAGUUUGCACAUCUUUCGGUAAGCUUGAAACUGAUUCCGCAACGUCUUUCUCAACCAUCACAGAAGAAUCAUCUCUCUUAUCUGGGGUAAACAAAUAAAAGCAAAAAUAUCAACAGGUAAAACCGAAUUUGGGAUGAUUUUUCUACAUCCUUCUUGAAAUCUCUUCAAUUUCAUAUUGAAAAUUCAACAAAAAAUUUCGCAUAUGACAAUGCACAAACCAGUUCCUUCCCACAUCAUCAAAUCCUUUAAGAAAGCAUAUACAAGUAGGUUUAGAUCCAGAAAAUCAAAAUUAGAAAAAAAAAAAAACAACAACAACAAAAUAGGAAAUCAAACGCAUGAUUCUGAAAGAAGAAAGGCAAUGGAAAACAGAAGAAUGGAGGCGAGAAUGAGUUGUUGGAGAGAGAGACCUGGAAGUGAAGAGGUCCGGUGAAGUUCCAUGGCUAAGGAUGAUCUGUGGAGCGGCAAAAGGCAAGGUGUGAAGUGAAAUAUAAAGACGCGCGUCGGACACGUUUGCAGUUUGAAUACCGGUCAUUGUAAGUUGAGGAAAGUACUACACACUGCUUUAUUCCAUUGAUAUUUUUCGGAGUUUUUCUAUUUAGUCUAAAGAAUAGCGAUAGGUGGAUUAUUAUUAUAGUUCCAUAAAUUAUAUAUGUAAACUUAUAAUUGUUUGUAGGACCAACAAAUAUAUACCCAUAUAUAUAUAUAACCAAAUAUAGCAAAGGAAUCUUUUACAAUCUAUGUAUCAAAAAUGGAUUACAAUCCUCUACUCCUCUCUAUCAUUAUCUACUUUCUAUUGUCCUAUUAGCUAGUAUUUUUGGUGUUAUUUAUUUUUUAUUAUGAACUGAAAUAGUAGGCUAUCAUCAAUCAUUUCCUACAAGUUAUUUUAGUUUUUGUUUCGUUUAUUUUUAAGGUUAAAAUACUGUUUUUGUUAAGUAUAAAUUUUAAUUUAAUUGAUAACAUAUAAGUUAAUAAUCAACAUUUAAGAAAAGGAGACUAAAAUUUGGAGCGCCUCAAAGUAUAUAAACCAAAAAAUGAUUUUAACUUUUUCAUUGGAAGAAUACUUUACUGCACCUAUUUUAUGUAGCUCACUUAAUAACAUGUUGUGUUAGGAGUGGUCAUUUAAAUAGCAAAAAUUGAAAACUCAAUAAAACUAAAAAUUAUUGUUAAGUCCGUUUAAAAAAAAUUGAAACCAAACUAAACCAUUUUUAACUACAAUAUAUUUAGUUUUAUAAAUAUUUUAUAUAUUUAAAAAAGAGAGUAAAACCAAUUGAAACUUUGAAUAACAAAAUAGAAUUUAAAACAAAUUACCAAACUAAACCAAAACAAAUAACUUCGAGUCUAAUUUGACCACCAAACAUAAUCAAAUCAAGUUGUUUCCACCCAUUUCCUGUGUCAAAAUCAACUUCAACCCCUUUUCUGUGUCAAAAUCGAAAUAUUAUAUGAAGAUAAAGCUUCUGAAAAUAUUUACAAAUAUAGUAAAAUAACCAUCUAUCCGUAAAAACUACUAUUAUAACAUUUUGUUUAGCUAUAUUUGAAAAUGGCUCAAUUUUAAUUUUUUUUUUAAUUAAAUCAUUAUACUAUCAUCAUAGGAUAAAUGAUGAACUAAAUGGUGAUUUAGUAAUGGUAGUUUAAACAUUAUUUUUCUAUAAACCAUAUAAAUUAAGUGAACUAAUUUCUUAAUUUGUGCAUAGCACUAAAUAGCAUAUAUUUGUACUCCACAAACUUAUAUCAUUCACUUAUAAAUUUUUCAUUUAGUUCCUAUAUUUUAAAAUCUUAGUUGCAAAAAUAUUUUUGUACCAAAAUUUAUUAGAUUUGUUGUACUCAAAAUGUUCUUAUUAAGGUCAAACAAUCGUAAAAGAUUAUUACGUGAAGACAAGGGUCUGUUUUACCUUAAAAGGAUUUGCUUUCCCACACCAUGCUAUCAUGAUGCUCAUUGUGUUUAGCGCACACAUUCCUUAGGCAUGCGGUCAUAUUUACUCGAUUGAAAUAUGUAAUUUUCGUUUUCGAAAACUUCUAAUUAAUUUGCUAAAAUCAACAUAAACUGUCUAAAAAUUUCAAUGACCAAAUGGAACCACAUCUGAAACCGACUCCAUUAUUUCUUCAUAUGUCUAUUUUUCAUCUAACAUCGUGCAUCGAUUUAAUGCUGAAUUCUGCAUUCACUGUGUCAAAGCAAGAACUUUCUUCACAAACAUCUCAUGAUUAGAUAAACAAGAAAUGUUCUGUUCACCUAAACUGAAUGAUAAGUUGUGUCAACAUAAUUAGCUAAUACUCUUAUCAAUUAGAGGGUUCGAGGAAUUCAUUUGAGGUUUGGUCUUGUAUUUUUUUCAACGUGUCUCCCUCUUGUAGCUCAUCUCCUUUUCUAUUUCACUUCCUUUCUAAAUGAACGUUCGAUUCUUCAUAUACUCAUAAUUUAUUCUUAACCCAUUCUUUCAUUUCACCUAAAAAUUAGAAGCUCAAAAGAGGUAUACAUAUCAGAGAAGAGAGAGUGGAGUAUACAUAUCUUUUGCAGCUUUGGUAAAAUGUACCUCAUAACUUGGAUGCAGUGGCUGUGCAUUUAUUGGUGUUGGAGGCAACUUUCCGCAAUGCAAUUGCUACUUUUGAAGCUGAAGGACGCCCCAACUGCUUGCAGAUGAAAUCUCCAGCCAACAUGAGCUUUCCAAGAUCUACAUUGGUUUUCGCCCCAAUUCCAUUCAGCAUAUACACAACAUCUUCAGUUGCAACGUUUCCAGAAGCACCCUUGGCAUAUGGACAACCCCCAAGACCCGAAACCGAAGAAUCCACCGUGCCAAUCCCCAUCUGAUAAUAAGAUAAAAUGUUUUUCAUCCAUUUUUAAACAUCAUUGUAUCCAUUCCGUGCAAGUGUAACAUAUUUGUUUUCACAAUCAAUCACAAUCACAUAUUCGUUUUCACUAUCAAUCCCAAUUAAAUAGUGUAACUCAUAGGUGAAGUGAGAGUAGUAUUUAUAAACUUAAUUUUUUUAAGAAAACCAUACAACUAUAAAAUGGAGUCGUAACUGUUUAACCCUCACUUUAUAACAUUGCUUCUUUCACAAAAAUCUAGUUCUAAGCUUCAAAGUUCUAGGACAAGGUCUUCAUUUUGUCUUUUUUGAACUAGGGUGUUUGGUAACUUGAAUAAAUUGGAAGAGUUGGAUUGCAUGGGUAAAAAAAACAAUCAUAUGUUUGAUUCACCAAUAAUUAAAGAGGUUUACUAUCUUGUUAUUCACAUCAACUCACAUUUUGCACCAAAAUACUCACAAUUCUCACAUCGUUAAUCAUGUCAACUCCCCCAAUAACUUCCCUAUAAUUAGUGCCAACUCAGCUCAACUCUUUGUUUUUAUCACUAACCAAACGCCCCCAUAUAUGUGUGUGUGUAUAUUGGUAACUAGGUGCUUUGUAUAUUUUCCCUCCUAAUAAAACCCAAACAAGUUUUAGAUGCCAAGGGAUAAGGAUAAGCCUUUGGUAGUCAAUAUCCAAGAGAAAGCAAGUGAAAGGGGAAAAUCUUCAGUACUAUGGGUACCCUCCCUUUACUAUUUGACACAUCAGUCAGUGAUACUUGUUCAAGAUCUAGUUCUUAAACUAGUAAGUUAUAUUUAACAUUUUUUAUUUGGCAUUUUCUAAAGUUAAAAUGUUUGUUAAACAUAACAUUGAAUUUCAUGUCUAAAAAGACGACAAAAUUUCAAUUUGUGGGCUGCUAUAAGAUGGUUGUGUGAGUGGGUUGCCUAGGAGUAUAUAGGGCGCUAGAAAGGGAUAGGGUACAAGGAUUCUUGCUAAGUGCAACUGCAAGGUAGCGUACCAAAGAUAAGGUCUCUUUAACGUCCCUAAAUUGUGCCUUGGAUUCUGAAUAUAUACAGUGGUUGUGAUUCUAUCAGAUACUCGCCAAUAAAUACCAAUUCAUUGGUAUAUAUUGCUUGAGGACUUGUAGGUUCCGAGCAAUUAAAACCAAGAUGGAAAAGAAGAGAAUACCUGGAGUGAGACUAAAAUAUUGGACAGAGCUUGCCCGUAAGUAUCAUGGAAAUGAACAGCAAGAUUUUCAGUUGGAACAACAUUAGCUACAGAUUCAAGCAUUGGAAUCACAGUUCCUGCAGUUGCAAAAAACUAAAGUUAAAGAAGAGGAGGAGGAGAAGAAGCAGAAGGAGGAGGAGGCGAAGAAGAAGAAGAAGCAGCAGAAGAAGAAGACCAAGAAGGAAAAGAAGAAAGCAAGAAUUGAUGCUUUUUUAAAGUUAUUUCUGACCAAAAAAAAUUAUUAUGUAAUAUCUAGAUAAUGAUACUUUUUUAUAAGUUAAUAACUUGAUGCUUUCAAUAAGAUGAUUAUACGAAUUGAAUAGAAUAUAAGUAUUCUACGGGAAAUUCUCUUAAAAGUAAGAUAAAAUAUGACAAAAAUUGUACAAGUCAUGGAGAUUCGAGAGCCCCUCCUGAUCUCACUCACUGAGCAAAGUACAGAAAAUUGCUUGAAAGAUGAUCGUCCUAGUGGUUACCUGGAGUACCAACACCAAUUGUAUCACCAAGGGAAAUCUCUGAGCAUCCCAUACUGUAAAGCUCCUUAGCAACGUAUGCUACAUUUGAUGCCGGCACCAUUCCUUCAAUGGGACAGCCCACAACACAUGAUACAUAUCUAACAUGUUUAUAGGAGACAUUUUCAAAAUAUAAAAAGAGAAUCAUAUCACUCCCUCUAAAAGAUUUUAAAUCUAAAUAAACAUAUAAUUAUCAACAAUACAUAAUUACAUUUUAAUUUAUAAGGCACAUAUAAGAUGGGAGGGCUGGACACCCUCCCACCUCUAAUAGUAAAAGGAGGCAGAUGCAAUUGAAACAUGAAAAAAUAUUUUGGUAAUAACGUCCGACUAUGAUUAUCUCUUCUUUUUUUCUUUUUUUUUUAAUAAGAAAGAGACUACAAAGAACGCCAAAGUUGCUCUACAAAGAUCAACAAACAUUUUCAGAAUUUAGAAACUAAAACAACAAAAAAUAAAUAAGUUAUUCGAAAAUUUGCUCUCUUGAAUUAUCCUCGUCUCUGAAACAUCUCCUAGACAUUCCAACCACACUUUCCAAAGAAGAACACUUCAGAUGUUAAACCAAUGCACCUUCACCUCAGGUCCUGAGAAAGCUAGAAAAUAUUUUGAAACGAAGAAAACCAGCUAAAAGCAAAGGUUAAUGGAGGAUUGAUUUCACAGCAGAGCAUCAUCAAAUCAAAUGAUGAAAGCUGUUGAAAACACAAGAGUUCCUAAAAAAGUUACAAAAUAGAUGAAAAUGUUUUGAGGUCUUUAGGGUGAGAGGAACCAAUAAAGUUCUCAUAGGAGUUAAGAGAUCUGAGGAGAAAGUUAGAUCCCUCCUCGUUAGGGUCCGUACCUCCCUUUGGGCUUUAGUGUGUAAGGACUUUAUAAUUAGUAAUUUUCAAUCAAAAGUUCUGAAAAUUCUGAGAUGAAAUCGAGAGUAGAGGGUGCUUUCAUAGAGGUGUUGAUUUCAAUGAACAUUUCAUGAUCCUUCAAUCAAACUCCCUAAGCCCAAUAUUAAUGAAUUGAAUCUGUCUUUCAUUCAACAGGUAUAUGUAAUGUGAUCACUGAUCUACAAAAUUAUGUCAAACGUUCUUGCUAACCAUUUGUAUUGGAUCGGAUCAUUUAAACCAACCAAAGUGCUCUCAUGCCAGAUAGAGGUAGACAUUUUAUAGAUGAUGUCUGUUGGCUUAUGAGCAUAUCAACUGUAUUAUUUUGUAGACAUAAAGGGGUCGAAGUAUUAUAGCCUCAGCACUAAAAGUAACAAAAUCAAACCAGAUGUAUGAUUGUUGAAAAGAAAAUAUUCAGUUUUCUGGUUCAUAUACCUACCCACGAACUGGAAGUGAGUGCUUUCUUGCCGCAUCAGCAACUUGGCGGUAGCGAUGAAGACUUUCUUCUAUGCUGCAAUUGAUAUUUGACUUCGAGAAGGAUUCAGACGCUGAAGCAAAGAUGGCUACUUCCUUUGCUCCAGCUGCUACAGCUGCUUCAAAACCCUAGAUAAAGAAGUAAAAAAUCUCAUAAGUCCAAAAAUCACGAAAUGCCUUCCAGAUUAGUCCUAAUUUUGUUUUGUAUUUUUUUUAAUACAGCCAAUUUUGCAUUUGUGUAUUAAAGCUCGUACUUUAAGAUUUGGGGUCAACACAGGAAAUCGAGCACCUUCAACAUUUCGAAUUCCCUCCAUGACUUCCUUUGCAUCUGCUAACUGAGGAAAAUAUGAGGAAAAGAGAUUAAUACGUACACGUACAAGAAACUCAAACACGAAGACAGAGCACAUGAAAAGUUGAAGGUCAGGAGAAGGAAGAAUGAGACAAGGUAACUGUUUCAGGAAUAGAAACAAUAUACCAACCAAUAUUUUCAUAGUAUCAAGCAACCUUACCUGCGGUACCCAUUUUGGAGAAACAAAACUCGUGGCUUCAACAACAGGCAAGCCAGAAGAGACUAGCAUCUUUAUUAAAUCAACCUUAACAGCAGUAGGUACAAUGUGCUUUUCAUUUUGUAGUCCAUCUCUUGGACCAACUUCAACAAUCUUCACAAAUGGCGGAAUACGGCAUAAAUACUACAAAGGAAGAAAAAGACUUUCAUCAAAAAAUUCAAUGUAUUUAUUUCUUUUCUUUUCUUUUCUUUUAUAUAAGAAACAGAAACCACUGAAUAUAUUAAAUAACCAUUAUAAUCGAAAACAACAGUUAAGAUUAAGAUUACAGUACAGAAAAAAGAAGAGGAAAAAAACCAAACAAAAAAAACAGAAAAAUAAAAUAAAAUAAAGACUUGUUACAAAUCAUAUCAUACAAGAAUAUAAAUAAGAGGACAAAGAUCUUGACGGGAAACAGAACCCAAGAAUAGCACAAAGGGAAAAAAUUAUUUCAACAUUUGAAACGCCUAUGUUACGUGUUCCAUAGACAAUUUACAAUUGUGGAAGCUAUACUAACAAUUCGGUAAAUGCUCAAGGUGAUAAGGAUUACUCAACUCCCAGAUUUUACAUCUUAUACUAAGAAAAAUCCAUUUUAGAACAUCACCUGGGACAAUCCCCCCUUAUUUUCUCUCGAAAGGACUGCAUCUCUUCCAUCUUGUUGACUGGAGAGAAAGAAAUGGAAUGUUGCAUUACAUUCAAACUUAAUACGAGACUUAAAGAAAAUAAAAAAAAGAGAUACCACAGUUAAUUCAAAUAUAUAAUACUUCUAGAUUCUAUUACACAAGUUCUGUGCCGUUACUAAGAAAGUCCAAUAAACCUAGCCAGGUAUAGCAUACGAGGGACCUCCUGAUCUCUAUUAAAUCCAAAAAGGGAUAAUUCCUACAUUCACCGUGUAUAGAAACUGAAAGCGAAGACUGAAGAUAGAAAUUAAUCAAAUUAUUCUCUCCAAACCCAAUCAAAUUAUUAGCUCUACUCUUGAAAGGACUCUAACAAAAGUAGAUGAAGUAGAUUUCUCAUCAUAAAUUUAGAAAACAAAAAUGCCCUAAUUUCACGAUGCAUAUUCCAUGACUCAUCCCCUAAAGGACUGAAAGAAUUCUACAGCACAUUUUCCGCAAAUGCUAUUGCAACGAUAAUCAAGAGGUUUAAUACAAAGCAAAAGUUUAAAAAUCAAAAGGGUACGAGCAAUUCUCCCUAUAAUCAUUAAUCAGAAUCGUUUCGACUAUACCUGCAAUUAUAAAAUUCUCGUUGUAUGCCAGGGGUUCUGAUGGAGCUGACGCCUACAUCUGUGGCGGAAGGUGAAACAAGAAAUGGGGUGGGAGUUUCCAUGGAGAGAUUAUAAGCAUGACGCCAAGAAAAAGAUUGUCGAGUGAAUUUAGCAGAGAGCUUUGCAGCUUGCAUAAUCACAGGAAGGAAAGUCCGGUAAGAAACGUAUAAAGAAGAUGAAGAUCAAGAUCAUAACCCCAUACGUCAAUCGAUAUAUAUCUUUAUACUUUUUUUUAAUAAUAAUUAUACACAUGACACAUUUCAUAUCUAUCACUUAUAGAUUUUUAAAUUAAAAUUAAAAUUCUCAUUCCCAAACUAUUUUUCAAUAAUUUAUUUUUUCUCCUUCUUUAAAAGUCAUAAACAUCAUUUAUUUCUCGUUUUAAGGUUCUAAUUAUCCUUUCUUAUAUAGAAAAUCUAAUCUUUUUUUCUCUUAAUUUUGAUUUUAGAAUAUAUGUCCCUAGUACACUAAUUACAACAUGACGUAUAAUGGUUAUUGAUCGAAGUAAUUUAACUUUAUUUAUGAUUUUUCUCUACUUUCUUUGACAUGUAUUUUGAGUUGAAUCUAACAAUUUCAAAUGAUUUUGUUUUAUCUUUUCACGUUAGUUUUGUUUUGGUUUUAUUUUAUAUCAGUUUUGUAUAUCAUUAUUGUCAUGUGGUUAUAUUAUAUAUUUACUACGUUUUAUUGUUUUUUUCAAAAUUUAUGCAGUUCAUUGUGAAAUUAUUAAGUAUACGAACAAUACAAGUCAUUAUAUCAUUAUCUAAAUAUAUAAACAAUAUAUUAUUAAAGGUAUAUCAACAUAUCGGUAACGUAAAUCAUUAUUAAGUAUAUUAAUUAAGUUUAUAAAUGUAUAUCAAUAACGUACCUAGUAUAUGAGUGGAACUUCAAGCAUAUCAAGUUUAUUUAAUCAAUCGAUUAUAUCAGUGAAUAAUACUAAGUAUAUCUACAAUACAUCAAAUAUAUUAGCAGUGCAUCCAAUGUAUCAAAUUUAUCAGUGAGACAUUUAAGUGAAUCAAGGGUUAAAGGGUAUUAAGUGUAUAAAGAAUAAUCAUGGUGCAACAAGUGUAUCAAGAUCCAAAAGUUAUCAAGAAGUAUCAAAUGUAUAUAUCAAUUGUAUCGAAGUAUCAGAUUUAUCAAGAAAUGUUUAGUAUAUCAAAUGUAUAUAGGACAUUUAUAACAUUUUACAUAUUGUAUAUGUGAGUUGGGCUUUGUUUUGUUUUCUUCAUUUUUGCAAACAAUAAACAUGUGUAUUAUGGACUUGAUUGUUAUAACGUAUGUUUACCUUUUUUUGCAAGUGUUCCUUAAAACUUUAUAUUAUUCUUGACUUUCGUAGUUAUUAAUUAUUUUAAUGCAUACAAGUGUGAAGAAUUUGAAUCACAAGCUUCCCAAUUUUUAAUACAUAUAGGUGUUAGUUGAGGUAAACUGUUAUUUCACUAUUGAUAUAGUUAAAUUGCAUACUCUUUCAAAUUUUAAUUUUGAAAUGAAUCUAUUUAAAUUCUUAAUUAAAAUUAUAUUUGAAACCCAUUUAACUAUAACUAUAGUUGUGUAAAACUUUUUAGCAAUAUAGAAUCAUAACAAAAACACCAAAUUAAAGGAGUUAUGAAAUCACAGUUUGCAAUAACAAUGACGCAUAGACCAUAAUCAAUAGAAUUAGAAUGCUAAAUCCAUACCUACUUCUUCACCUACAAUAAUAUUAUGCAAGAAAUUGAACACCAUUCUCAACAAAACAAGUUCAAUGGAACCAACAAAUCAUAAUUUCACCAACUGAAUAUUGAAUUAAUUGUUCCCAAAACUUCCAAUGAAACUCUAACAUAAAUCACUAGACAUAAAAAUCGAUUUUAGCCACUAAGAUACCAAUAUUAAUUUAAUACAGUUGGAUAACUAUAUGAUAUUUAAUAUGAAUUUCCUCCCUCAUACCCUCGAAGAUCACUACCAUAUCAUAAAAAGAAAUUGAUUGAUCCAUGAAGAAAUGUCAAAUCCAGUUGAACCCCCGCCUAGAACGUAGUUACUGCCCAUUGGAAGACACAUACACACACAUACAUACAAGAUAUAUAUGUGUAAUUGGAUACACAUUGAAUAAUUCAAAUAUAAAUACCAUACUCCAUAUAUAAAUACAAUAUAAUUUUUUUAAAAAAAUUCUUUUUACAACUAGACCAAUUAUAUAUAUAUAUAUAUAUAUAUAUAUAUUGUAAAUAUUUACAAUAAUUUUCUCUAAGUUAUUCAAAAUAUAUGUAAAACCCAUCUAAUAGAUAAAAUAUAAUGGAAAUUACAUACAACCAAAGUUCCAUAUUUUGUAGAUAAAGACGAUGACAGAUAUCUUGAUUGAUACGAGACUAUCACAUGUGUGUAUAUAUAAUUUUUUUUUUUUCUAAUGAAGUACUAGAAAUGAAAUGAAAUAAUAAAUAAAGGAAAGAAUGAAAAUCACAAAAAUCCACCGGCUUGGGAAAAAGAAAAAAAAAAAAAGGAAGCAUAGGGAGAGAGUGUUUGGUGUAGUCAUAGUCAUAAACAGAAAUAUUACAACCACUUAUGUGCUUUGUCCAAUGCCGACGUACGAACACAAGGGAAGUUUCCAAGAAACUUAAGAAAAUGCCAACUCACAUUUUUUUUCUUUACAACUAUAUUCAUUUUUCCAUCCAAAAUUAAAUAAAUACGCAACAUGAUAACUUUGGAGUUUGGGCAUAUCAUAUCAUAUCAUAUCACAUUUUCCCUAAUUUCUUUUUCAAUAAAUAAUUCCAUCUUUAUAAUUUAAAUGAUUUUUGACUUGAAAAUCGUGAAAAUAAAAUAAAUUAUAUAUUAGACAAAAAUUAUCUUCUCGUAUCUUCUAGUUAAAAAUAAGCGAUCAAAAUGGUAUUAUAAUGUUUUCAAUCUCUGAUUUACUCUACAUUAAAUUAAUUAAUUAUAUUGAUUAUGGAGUAACACAUAUAAGUUGAGUCUACGACGGCAAUAAAGUAAUGAGUUUAAUUUAGACUUUAAUUAUGGAGAAAGAAAAGGAAGAUUAGAUUUGUAUUAUUAUUGAAUUUCAAUUAAUUAAGACCAUAAUUCCAAAUCAAAGAAAGAGACACAGUUUCAUAUGUUGUGGGUUGUUCUUGGUUGGGAAAGCAUAGUUUUCUCUUUUCCCUUUAACUCCACGCCAUAUCCUUCUACUUUCCUCGAAACUUCCACAUAAAUUCUUCCCUAACUUUCCAAUUCACCUCAUUUCAUUAUCUACAUUCAUCUUUUAUUAGUAGUUGGACCUAAUUAUAUACUCAAUUCAUUUCAGAUCACUUCCAAAUUUAAUUAAGCGUAACAAACGUUGUAAGAUUAUAAAGCUAAUUAGGAUGUGAUUAUUAUACAAAAGUUGAUGGUUUCAUUUUUGUAACCUCAUAUUCGAUGAAUUAAGAAAAACUUUGAUGAUAUUAUUCUAAUGUCAUUCGAGUUUUAUUCAAUCUAACGAGAUGAUGAUAAAAAAUUAUAUGAUUUCGAUGGUGGGAAGAGAUUUUUCUAAGUUGUUUAACAAUGUAGAUGAGUGUCGAACUGAGUAUAUUUUAAUUUACAAAUAUUUGUGUUAAUGACAAACAGAUUUGUGAAUCAAAUUGUUUUUCUACUCUAUAAACCUUUACAUAUUUGAUUAUUUUAAAUAAUUAAUUAAGUUGAGUUUAGUUUAAAGAGAGUUCGGGAAAAUCCUUCAUUAAUUAGUCACUCUAUUCUCCCACCUACUCCCUAAAAUUUCUUCCCUCUAAUUAAUUUAUCCAUUUUCUCACGUACUUCAAAAAAAAAAUUUGUUUUUUGGUACAACAAUUGAACGAAAGAGAUUUAAUCUUCAAUUUUACAAUAAAAUUGUAAUUACAAUAUAGGCAAAAAGUAAAAUUAGUGACAACGUCAUCAUUUAAUUUAUUUUCUUUACUUUUCGCAUCUAUUGAAGAACUGCAUCUUACAAUCUUACACUUCAAACACAAAAUUUACUAACUUUAGCAUAUCGAAUCUAAUAUUAAUUAUUUUAGCUUAGUGGACCGAAGGACCUUAAUAACAAUAUUAGGUGAUAUAUUAUUUUGAAUAAAACUUGUACUUUUGAUCCAUGAAGUUUGUAUUUUGAAGUAUUUUAUGUUACCAAUUUUAUGUUUCGUGGGUAACCAAAUCUAUGUGGCAACACUUUUGUUAAUAUAUAUAUAAUUAAAGUACACUUCUUUUAUAUUCUUCUGAUUACUUUUAUCGUCAAUGUUACCGUUAUCGUGUGUCAACUUUUUUUUUUCACUCUCUUUUUCUUUCAUCUUCCCUUUGUCAACUUUUAAAAAACAUAGCAAAUAUGAUAACUCAAGGGUAAGAAUGCAAUCAAACUGAAAUCGUAGGGAACCAGAAGUGUAAUAUUUUAUUGUUUUGUUUUAGGUCUCCAUACUAUUCUUUGAAGAAAAAAAAAAAAAAAGUAAUUACAAUGGAUAGCAGAAUUAGAACGUAAUCUACUAUGAUAGACUUUUAAUAACUAUAUAAUCUUUCACUUGUUACCAAAGCUAAAUCUAGUUUUGCACCUUAAUGUAAAAUCAAGUAUAAAUCAUUAGUGCUUUUUGAUCACCAAUAUGUAAAAAAUUUAUAUCUUUUUAUUAUUUUUCACAAUUUUUUUUUAAUUUUAGUAUUUAUACUUGUUGAACUUUUAAAUUUAAUAGUUUUUAUAUUUAAAAAUAACUAAAUCUAAUUUAUAUAUGUUCUUCACUAAAAACUCGUUCUAUUAAUCUUCCUUCGACAAAUUUGAUUUCUUAUUCAAAUAUCUAAAUCUCAUAAUAUCAUAUUGUGAAAUUAAAUCAAAUCCAAACACAAAGACUGUUUUUAUAUUUAAAGAAAAAUACAUGGAAUAUAUAUAAACUAAACUUGAAAACAUUUCAACAUAUAAAAUUACACAAUUUAUAAUUAGAAGUAAUUAAAUAAAUAAGGAAGAAAAAAGAAUUGGAGAAAGGAAUGAUGAAUUAGACCAAUGUCCGAUCCGACGACUUACUGCCGAUUUUAUAUACUUUGCAUCAACAACACAUAAACACAAACAUCCAUUUUUCUUUUUCUUUUCUUUCUCAAAAUUAUUAUCAUCAUUAUUAUAUUUAAUAAGAAAAGAGUUUAAAAGAAGAAAAAAAAAAUGAAAGGCGUUGAUUGGAUUUAUCUCUGGCAGUCCAUCAUACGCACAAAGUCGUCGAAGCAGACGAACCCAUCCCCAUUUUUGUCUACACCUGCUAUCAUACGCUGACAAUCCUCUAACGUGCACCCAUCGUCUCCCAUAGCUGCGAACACACUAAAAAGCUCCUCCGCCGUAAUUCUCCCGUCGUGGUCCGCGUCGAAUAUCUCAAACGUAUCACGUAACUCGGAGUGGCAAGUCGGUCCAACCCGGUCCAUUUCGCCCAUCAUGAUCUUAAUCUCUUCCUCACUCGGCGGUUCGGCUCCGAUUAGGCCGAGUAGAGCCUUUAGUUCUUUACGAGAGAGAGUGGGGUCGGAGAAAUCGGACCAGUCGAGGGAGGGUAGAACGCUGGUGGGGGUUCCUGCCGCGGAGGAGGAGGAGGAGGAGGAGGCGGAGCCGAAAGAAGGAGGUUGAGAUCGGGAGAGUUUGGAGCGGUGGGAUUUGGAAGAGAAGAGACGGUUGGGGUUUAAGGAUUUGAGAAGCUUCAUGUUUGAGGGAAAUGAAGUAUGAAUUUUGAUUUGGGGUUUUGGAAAUGGAAGUUUGUUUUGAAGACAAGUU
Molecule: long non-coding RNA, 25073 nt
Filed under: Cucumis sativus (cucumber)
Lineage: Eukaryota; Viridiplantae; Streptophyta; Magnoliopsida; Cucurbitales; Cucurbitaceae
Description: long non-coding RNA (CSAT_LNC001273)
Source: RNAcentral